GUAUGAUUCCUGCCCAGCUCCCGGGGUGGCGGUGACGACAAGCAGCAGCAGUCCAGCUGGUCCCAGAUUUGCUGCUGGACUGCUGGAUGGGGCCGUUCUCAGUGACACUACCGGUUUUGGAGAAUGCCACACAUCUCUGCACCCCCGGGACCCCCGGGACCCCAAGGAUCCCGAAGAAGACAGCUUGAACCUAGAACUCCCCUCCCUCCCUGCCCAGACCUCACCCCAGGAUGCUGCCGAGGCUGCUGGAGCGGCCCUGCCCGCCAGCCCUGCUUGUGGACUCCCAGUUGGCUGUCACGAUGUACCUGUCACUGGGGGGCUUCCGAAGCCUCAGUGCCCUAUUUGGCCGAGAUCAGGGGCCAACGUUUGACUCUUCUCACCCCCGUGAUGUCUACGGUAACCUCAGUCACCUGCCUGGGGCCCCUGUCGCCCCAGGGGGUCCUCCAGCUCCUCGAGGUCUGCCCUGUGGUCCAGAACGAUCUCCUCUUCUAGUGGGUCCCGGGUCGGGGUCCUUUUAGCCCAGUGCCAUCUCUGGCAGAGACCGUGGAGCGGAAUCCCCGGGUGGAGCCGGGAGGCCAGUACCACCCUGCAGGGUGUGAGCCCCAAUCUCGGACAGCCAUCAUUGUGCCCCACGGUGCCCGGGAGCACCACCUGCGCCCGCGGCUCUACCACCUGCACCCCUGCCUGCAGCGCCAGCAGCUUGCUGGCGGCAUCUAUGUCAUCCACCAGGCGGGAAACAUUUAACAGGGCAAAACUGCUGAACGGUGAGGUGCGGGAGACUCUCGGCGAUGCAGAGCGAGACUGCCUGUUCUUGCACGAUGUGGACCUCUUGCUGGAAAAUGACCACAGUCUGAAUAUGUGCGACCCCCGGGGACCCCGCCAGGUUGCUGUUGCCACGAACACGUCUGGAUACAGCCUCCCGCACCCUCAGUACUUCGGAGGGGUCUCCGCACUUACUCCCGACCAGUACCUGAAGAUGGAACGGCUUUCCCAGUGAAUACUGGGGCUAGGGUGGGGAGGAUGGCGACAUUGCCACCAGGGCGCGCCGGGCUGGGAUGAAGAUCUGUCGACCCCCCAUGUCUGUCGGACACUAUAAGAUGGUGAAGCAGCGAGGAGAGAAGGGCAACGAGGAAAACCCCCACAGAUUUGACCUCCAGGUCCGUUCCCAGAAUUCCUGGACGCAAGAUGGGAUGAGCUCGCUAGCAUCACGACUGCUGGCUCAGGAGCUGGGUCCUCUCUAUACCAACGUCAGGGCAGACAUUGAAACGGACCCUCGGGGGCCCCUGGGCUCUCUCUGGUCCCCGUUACCCACCUGGGUCCUCGCAGGCCUUCGGUCAAGAGAUGCUGCAGCGCCGGCCCCCAGCCAGGCCUGGCCCCCUGCCUGGCCUGGCCCCCUGCCUACUGCCAAACACACAGCCCUCUGGAGUUCACACUGACUCCUCCUUCCUGCUCACCUUAAUCAUGAAACCGAAUUCAAGGGGUUGUAUUCUCCCCACCCUCAGAUCCUCACUGUUUUUAGAGGGAUGUGGGGGAGC
Molecule: RNA transcript, 1535 nt
Organism: Carlito syrichta (Philippine tarsier)
Lineage: Eukaryota; Metazoa; Chordata; Mammalia; Primates; Tarsiidae
Gene name: beta-1,4-galactosyltransferase 3 pseudogene
Exons: 1
Source: RefSeq, a predicted model, not a curated record